RNAcentral lists this transfer RNA (77 nucleotides) under Rickettsiales bacterium. RNAcentral describes it as "tRNA-Val". It matches the Rfam family "tRNA". Rfam says of the family: Transfer RNA (tRNA) molecules are approximately 80 nucleotides in length. Their secondary structure includes four short double-helical elements and three loops (D, anti-codon, and T loops). Lineage: Bacteria; Pseudomonadati; Pseudomonadota; Alphaproteobacteria; Rickettsiales. The record is from RNAcentral.
GGGCGGUUAGCUCAGUUGGUUAGAGCGUUACCUUGACAUGGUAGAGGUCGGAAGUUCGAAUCUUCUACCGCCCACCA